AACGAACGCUGGCGGCAGGCCUAACACAUGCAAGUCGAGCGAGGACUUCGGUCCUAGCGGCGGACGGGUGAGUAACGCGUGGGAACGUGCCCUUUGCUUCGGAAUAGCCCUGGGAAACUGGGAGUAAUACCGGAUGAGCCCUUUGGGGGAAAGAUUUAUCGGCGAAGGAUCGGCCCGCGUUGGAUUAGGUAGUUGGUUGGGUAAUGGCCUACCAAGCCGACGAUCCAUAGCUGGUUUGAGAGGAUGAUCAGCCACACUGGGACUGAGACACGGCCCAGACUACUACGGGAGGCAGCAGUGGGGAAUCUAAGAAAAUGGGGGAAACCAUGAUCGAGCCAUGCCGCGUGAGCGAUGAAGGCCUUAGGGUAGUAAAGCUCUUUCAGCUGGGAAGAUAAUGACGGUACCAGCAGAAGAAGCCCCGGCUAACUCCGUG
RNAcentral lists this ribosomal RNA (433 nucleotides) under uncultured bacterium. Its description in RNAcentral is "partial 16S ribosomal RNA". It matches the Rfam family "Bacterial small subunit ribosomal RNA", at positions 29 to 507 of the family's 1533-position model. The record is from RNAcentral.